UCUUAUCAAGAGUGGUGGAAGGAUCUGGCCUGAUGACACCCGGCAACCUUAAGUAUCGUACUUAAAAGGUGCUAAAUCCAGCUGAGCAUGAUGCUCGGAAAGAUAAGA
Molecule: non-coding RNA, 108 nt
Filed under: uncultured Siminovitchia sp.
Lineage: Bacteria; Bacillati; Bacillota; Bacilli; Caryophanales; Bacillaceae
Description: SAM riboswitch (S box leader)
Rfam family: SAM riboswitch aptamer (S box leader)
About the family: The SAM riboswitch is found upstream of a number of genes which code for proteins involved in methionine or cysteine biosynthesis in Gram-positive bacteria.
Source: RNAcentral